AGCAUCUUCCAUUGUAGGUCUUCUACCUGUGCAGGGCUGAAGGACACAGACUUCAGGGCAGGGAGGACAGCGAGCAGCUGCGACGCGAGGGCAAAGCUAGGAUGUCAGCUGUGCCAGCUGAGGCCAGCAGGGGAGCCAACUCAGGGAAGAGACUACCAUCUUGUACCAGGUGAACGUAAGAUACUUCCCAAACAACCACUCCACGAUCAAACUACCUACCCCAAAGCACUGCAGCAAGACCUUCUUGUUGUUGAAGUUGUUUUCACUCUCAAGAUAAUGAGCUACGGAUGUUAAUACACCGAGUCUUAUG
Molecule: long non-coding RNA, 310 nt
Organism: Monopterus albus (swamp eel)
Lineage: Eukaryota; Metazoa; Chordata; Actinopteri; Synbranchiformes; Synbranchidae
Exons: 3
Source: RefSeq, a predicted model, not a curated record